CUACGGAGGAUGCGAGCGUUAUCCGGAUUUAUUGGGUUUAAAGGGAGCGUAGGUGGGAUAUUAAGUCAGCUGUGAAAGUUUGGGGCUCAACCCUAAAAUUGCAGUUGAUACUGGUUUCCUUGAGUACGGUACAGGUGGGCGGAAUUCGUGGUGUAGCGGUGAAAUGCUUAGAUAUCACGAAGAACUCCGAUCGCGAAGGCAGCUCACCGGGCCGGAACUGACACUGAUGCUCGAAAGUGCGGGUAUCAAACAGGAUUAGAUACCCUGGUAGUCCACACAGUAAACGAUGAAUACUCGCUGUUUGCGAUAUACAGUAAGCGGCCAAGCGAAAGCAUUAAGUAUUCCACCUGGGGAGUACGCCGGCAACGGUGAAACUUAAAUGAAUUGGCGGGG
RNAcentral lists this ribosomal RNA (393 nucleotides) under uncultured bacterium. Its description in RNAcentral is "partial 16S ribosomal RNA". It matches the Rfam family "Bacterial small subunit ribosomal RNA", at positions 523 to 918 of the family's 1533-position model. The record is from RNAcentral.